Dioscorea cayenensis subsp. rotundata (Guinea yam) is the source of this 747-nucleotide long non-coding RNA. RefSeq lists it as uncharacterized. The record is from RefSeq and is a predicted model, not a curated record. The transcript has 3 exons. Lineage: Eukaryota; Viridiplantae; Streptophyta; Magnoliopsida; Dioscoreales; Dioscoreaceae.
CUUAGCCUUGCUUUUCUUCCUUUCUCCUCCUCUGCAUAUCCUUCAUCUCCAGCAAGUCCUUCUGUUCUCUGAAAAUUUUGAAAAAGUUUUGAAGAGGAGGUUGCUGAAAGAUUCAUGGUGAUCAAAGAAGUAAGCGUUUCAAACAGGUUACCAAAACCUGGGAUACAGCAGAGUUCCUAGCAAGACCGGACGAUGUUGGGAACCGAGUCGGCGAAGAUGCCCAGCAGAGUUUUCUUCAGGUUAUCAGGAGCAUCACCUGAUGAGCUAGGCAUGUUGAUGAGGGAGGCCUUCAGGUCAGAGGCCGAGGAGAAUAGUAGGUCAGAUUUUUCACGGAAGUGUUUGAUGAUAUUGGGAUGAGGAUGGACGUCAAGUUUCAGGCUGGCCAUGUUGAGUAAGGUUGUUUGUUGGCCUUGUGCUUGAAGGCCAUUGUCGGAGAGUUUUACUGAGCGCUCAAAGGAGAUGGGAGAGGGGUUUUUCUCUGCCAGGCUCUGAGAGUUCCCCAUUUCUUCUUGGAUUGAAGAGAAGAGAAUGGAUCAGUGGCCAAACAGCUCAAGGAACAUUACAUUUGAAUCUAUAAUGGUUUUUUUUUGAUAAAAUUUAAUCUAGACUUUCACUGAGCUGAAGUAUCGACAUUUUGAGAAAUUUCAUUUUUACAAGCAAUCGUGUAUCAGUAUUUAUUAAAUCUUCUGUUGUUAUUAAGUCAACCAUUUUAGAAGAUCUGUAUAAGAAUCAUUGAAACAGAGACAG